GAUGAACGCUGGCGGCGUGCCUAAUACAUGCAAGUCGAGCGAACGGACGAGAAGCUUGCUUCUCUGAUGUUAGCGGCGGACGGGUGAGUAACACGUGGAUAACCUACCUAUAAGACUGGGAUAACUUCGGGAAACCGGAGCUAAUCCCGGAUAAUAUUUUGAACCGCAUUGUUCAAAAGUGAAAGACGGUCUUGCUGUCACUUAUAGAUGGAUCCGCGCUGCAUUAGCUAGUUGGUAAGGUAACGGCUUACCAAGGCAACGAUGCAUAGCCGACCUGAGAGGGUGAUCGGCCACACUGGAACUGAGACACGGUCCAGACUCCUACGGGAGGCAGCAGUAGGGAAUCUUCCGCAAUGGGCGAAAGCCUGACGGAGCAACGCCGCGUGAGUGAUGAAGGUCUUCGGAUCGUAAAACUCUGUUAUUAGGGGAGAACAUAUGUGUAAGUAACUGUGCACAUCUUGACGGUACCUAAUCAGAAAGCCACGGCUAACUACGUG
Molecule: ribosomal RNA, 497 nt
Filed under: uncultured bacterium
Lineage: Bacteria
Description: partial 16S ribosomal RNA
Rfam family: Bacterial small subunit ribosomal RNA
Source: RNAcentral